AUUGAACGCUGGCGGCAGGCCUAACACAUGCAAGUCGAACGGUAACAGGAAGAAGCUUGCUUCUUUGCUGACGAGUGGCGGACGGGUGAGUAAUGUCUGGGAAACUGCCUGAUGGAGGGGGAUAACUACUGGAAACGGUAGCUAAUACCGCAUAACGUCGCAAGACCAAAAAGGGGGACCUUCGGGCCUCUUGCCAUCGGAUGUGCCCAGAUGGGAUUAGCUAGUAGGUGGGGUAACGGCUCACCUAGGCGACGAUCCCUAGCUGGUCUGAGAGGAUGACCAGCCACACUGGAACUGAGACACGGUCCAGACUCCUACGGGAGGCAGCAGUGGGGAAUAUUGCACAAUGGGCGCAAGCCUGAUGCAGCCAUGCCGCGUGUAUGAAGAAGGCCUUCGGGUUGUAAAGUACUUUCAGCGGGGAGGAAGGGAGUAAAGUUAAUACCUUUGCUCAUGACGUUACCCGCAGAAGAAGCACCGGCUAACUCCGUG
Molecule: ribosomal RNA, 489 nt
Filed under: uncultured bacterium
Lineage: Bacteria
Description: partial 16S ribosomal RNA
Rfam family: Bacterial small subunit ribosomal RNA
Source: RNAcentral